UACGUAGGGUGCAAGCGUUAAUCGGAAUUACUGGGCGUAAAGCGUGCGCAGGCGGUUAUGUAAGACAGGUGUGAAAUCCCCGGGCUUAACCUGGGAACUGCAUUUGUGACUGCAUAGCUAGAGUACGGUAGAGGGGGAUGGAAUUCCGCGUGUAGCAGUGAAAUGCGUAGAUAUGCGGAGGAACACCGAUGGCGAAGGCAAUCCCCUGGACCUGUACUGACGCUGAGGUGCGAAAGCGUGGGGAGCAAACAGG
RNAcentral lists this ribosomal RNA (253 nucleotides) under uncultured bacterium. Its description in RNAcentral is "partial 16S ribosomal RNA". It matches the Rfam family "Bacterial small subunit ribosomal RNA", at positions 524 to 776 of the family's 1533-position model. The record is from RNAcentral.